UAUUAGCCCUGAUUGAGCGGUAUGUUUGAGCUCUUUUCUGGGUUUUGGCGGCGGCUUUGCCGCCGCCGAAACCCAGAAAAAGCGAGUAGCGAAAGCAGGUUCCCGG
This 106-nucleotide unclassified non-coding RNA is filed under the name Chryseobacterium jejuense. Its description in RNAcentral is "Flavo-1 RNA". Lineage: Bacteria; Pseudomonadati; Bacteroidota; Flavobacteriia; Flavobacteriales; Weeksellaceae. The record is from RNAcentral.